Molecule: ribosomal RNA, 484 nt
Filed under: uncultured organism
Description: bacterial SSU rRNA
Rfam family: Bacterial small subunit ribosomal RNA
Source: RNAcentral
GAUGAACGCUAGCGGCAGGCUUAACACAUGCAAGUCGAGGGGCAGCGGGAGUAGCAAUACUUGCCGGCGACCGGCGCAAGGGUGCGUAACGCGUGAGCAACAUGCCCGUAUCAGGGGGAUAAUCCAGGGAAACUUGGUCUAAUACCCCAUAGUAAUCUUAGGAGGCAUCUUUUAAGAUUUAAAGCUUUGGUGGAUACGGAUUGGCUCGCGUGACAUUAGCUAGAUGGUAGGGUAACGGCCUACCAUGGCUACGAUGUCUAGGGGUUCUGAGAGGAAGAUCCCCCACACUGGAACUGAGACACGGUCCAGACUCCUACGGGAGGCAGCAGUGAGGAAUAUUGGACAAUGGAUGGAAAUCUGAUCCAGCCAUGCCGCGUGCAGGAAGACUGCCCUAUGGGUUGUAAACUGCUUUUGUAUGGGAGCAAUAAGCCCUUCGUGAAGGGUGAUGAGAGUACCAUACGAAUAAGCAUCGGCUAACUCCGUG